RNAcentral lists this transfer RNA (85 nucleotides) under Rickettsia prowazekii. Its description in RNAcentral is "tRNA-Tyr". It matches the Rfam family "tRNA". From Rfam's summary of the family: Transfer RNA (tRNA) molecules are approximately 80 nucleotides in length. Their secondary structure includes four short double-helical elements and three loops (D, anti-codon, and T loops). Further hydrogen bonds mediate the characteristic L-shaped molecular structure. tRNAs have two regions of fundamental functional importance: the anti-codon, which is responsible for specific mRNA codon recognition, and the 3' end, to which the tRNAs corresponding amino acid is attached (by aminoacyl-tRNA synthetases). tRNAs cope with the degeneracy of the genetic code in two manners: having more than one tRNA (with a specific anti-codon) for a particular amino acid; and 'wobble' base-pairing, i.e. permitting non-standard base-pairing at the 3rd anti-codon position. Lineage: Bacteria; Pseudomonadati; Pseudomonadota; Alphaproteobacteria; Rickettsiales; Rickettsiaceae. The record is from RNAcentral.
GGAGGGGUGGCCGAGUGGUCAAUGGCAGCAGACUGUAAAUCUGCCCGCGUAAGUUUCGAAGGUUCGAAUCCUUCUCCCUCCACCA